AUUGAACGCUGGCGGCAGGCCUAACACAUGCAAGUCGAGCGGAGCGGCACAGGGGUGUGUAAUGUCAAUGAAUUUGCCUCGUCGUGGGGGAUAACGUUCGGAACGGGUCGCUAUUACCGCAUCCUCUCAGAUUCGCCUCGGUGGGAUUGGCUUGUUGGUGGGGGAAAGGCCUACCCAGGCGACGAUCCGUAACCUGUCUGAGAGGAUGAGCAGUCACACUGGAACUGAGACACGGUCCAGACGCCUACGGGAGGCAGCAGUGGGGAAUAUUGGACAAUGGGCGAAAGCCUGAUCCAGCCAUGCCGCGUGUGUGAAGAAGGUCUUCGGAUUGUAAAGCACUUUAAGUUGGGAGGCGUUACCAGCAGAAUAAGCACCGGCUAACUUCGUGCCAGCAGCCGCGGUAAUUC
Molecule: ribosomal RNA, 407 nt
Filed under: uncultured bacterium
Lineage: Bacteria
Description: partial 16S ribosomal RNA
Rfam family: Bacterial small subunit ribosomal RNA
Source: RNAcentral